This 856-nucleotide ribosomal RNA is filed under the name uncultured archaeon. Its description in RNAcentral is "bacterial SSU rRNA". It matches the Rfam family "Archaeal small subunit ribosomal RNA", at positions 1 to 864 of the family's 1478-position model. The record is from RNAcentral.
UUCCGGUUGAUCCUGCCGGACCUGACUGCUAUCGGAUUGAUACUAAGCCAUGCGAGUCAUUGUAGCAAUACAAGGCAGACGGCUCAGUAACGCGUAGUCAACCUAACCUAUGGACGGGAAUAACCUCGGGAAACUGAGAAUAAUGCCCGAUAGAACACUAUGCCUGGAAUGGUUUGUGUUCCAAAUGAUUUAUCGCCGUAGGAUGGGACUGCGGCCUAUCAGUUUGUUGGUGAGGUAAUGGCCCACCAAGACUAUUACAGGUACGGGCUCUGAGAGGAGUAGCCCGGAGAUGGGUACUGAGACACGGACCCAGGCCCUAUGGGGCGCAGCAGGCGAGAAAACUUUGCAAUGUGCGAAAGCACGACAAGGUUAAUCCGAGUGGUUUGUGCUAAACAGACCUUUUGUUAGUCCUAGAAACACUAACGAAUAAGGGGUGGGCAAGUUCUGGUGUCAGCCGCCGCGGUAAAACCAGCACCUCAAGUGGUCAGGAUGAUUAUUGGGCCUAAAGCAUCCGUAGCCGGCUCUGUAAGUUUUCGGUUAAAUCUGUAUGCUCAACAUACAGGCUGCCGGGAAUACUGCAGAGCUAGGGAGUGGGAGAGGUAGACGGUACUCGGUAGGAAGGGGUAAAAUCCUUUGAUCUAUUGAUGACCACCUGUGGCGAAGGCGGUCUACCAGAACACGUCCGACGGUGAGGGAUGAAAGCUGGGGGAGCAAACCGGAUUAGAUACCCGGGUAGUCCCAGCUGUAAACUAUGCAAACUCAGUGAUGCAUUGGCUUGUGGCCAAUGCAGUGCUGCAGGGAAGCCGUUAAGUUUGCCGCCUGGGAAGUACGUACGCAAGUAUGAAACUUAAAGGAA